ACACACACGGAACACACCACCAACAUGUUGCCGAAGCAACAGGCCACGGAAAUCAGCACUUCGACUGCCGUGUAAACCAGCCAACUCCAUUCAGCCAUCGCUGGAGCUGGAGGGCAGCGGAGACGGAGACGGAGAGGUCUCGGCUUCGAAUGACCAUAAAAAGCAUUGAGCAGAUGCUUUUUAUACGCAAGCAUGCAUGCGCUUCUGUGUGCACACACACACACACAACAACAGGCGUGCACUCCAUGGAGACAUCUCCAUCUGUAUUUCAUCAGUGAGUGAAAAUCUUUUUCUCACUCUAAUGAAUGUGGCUCAGUAGCCUUCUUCUGCACGAGUCGUAUCACAUUUUUUCACACAAUAAGUGAGCUCAGUAUUGUAUGGAAGAGUAUCAGGGCCGGGCAUGAGAAAAUUUGAAUUUGAAUUUCGAGAACAAUGCUGAAAUGUCGUGAAAAAAUUUGAAAUGCAGAGAAUAGUCAAACUAAACUAAGAUAUGUUUAGUUUGAAAGGCUAAAGUACCGAUACAACUAUGUAAAAGUACUAAACUACAAUAAAAAAUGAUCCUUC
This is a long non-coding RNA of Scophthalmus maximus (turbot), 564 nucleotides long. RefSeq lists it as uncharacterized. Lineage: Eukaryota; Metazoa; Chordata; Actinopteri; Pleuronectiformes; Scophthalmidae. The transcript has 2 exons. The record is from RefSeq and is a predicted model, not a curated record.